RNAcentral lists this ribosomal RNA (163 nucleotides) under Genista cf. monspessulana AK-2011. RNAcentral describes it as "5.8S ribosomal RNA". It matches the Rfam family "5.8S ribosomal RNA". From Rfam's summary of the family: 5.8S ribosomal RNA (5.8S rRNA) is a component of the large subunit of the eukaryotic ribosome. It is transcribed by RNA polymerase I as part of the 45S precursor that also contains 18S and 28S rRNA. Functionally, it is thought that 5.8S rRNA may be involved in ribosome translocation. Lineage: Eukaryota; Viridiplantae; Streptophyta; Magnoliopsida; Fabales; Fabaceae. The record is from RNAcentral.
AGACUCUCGGCAACGGAUAUCUCGGCUCUUGCAUCGAUGAAGAACGUAGCGAAAUGCGAUACUUGGUGUGAAUUGCAGAAUCCCGUGAACCAUCGAGUCCUUGAACGCAAGUUGCGCCCGAAGGCCAUUAGGCUGAGGGCACGCCUGCCUGGGUGUUGCACAU